RNAcentral lists this ribosomal RNA (1528 nucleotides) under Paguristes cadenati. RNAcentral describes it as "SSU rRNA". It matches the Rfam family "Eukaryotic small subunit ribosomal RNA". The record is from RNAcentral. Lineage: Eukaryota; Metazoa; Arthropoda; Malacostraca; Decapoda; Diogenidae.
ACAUGACGACAUGGUUCUACACCUGAGAAACGGCUACCACAUCUAAGGAAGGCAGCAGGCACGCAAAUUACCCACUCCMAGCCCGGGGAGGUAGUGACGAAAAAAUAACGAUACGAGACUCAUCCGAGGCCUCGUAAUCGGAAUGAGUACACUUUAAAUCCUUUAACGAGGACCUAUUGGAGGGCAAGUCUGGUGCCAGCAGCCGCGGUAAUUCCAGCUCMAAUAGCGUAUGCCAAAGUUGUUGCGGUUAAAAAGCUCGUAGUUGGACUACAGUUCCGGACUGACGGCUCACCGUCACGGUGUACCCCGCCAGAUCCGAAGCAGCCCCGCGGUCCGUCAAAGGACGGGGGCCCCGUCGGCUCGCCCGGGGUGCUCUUCAUCGAGUGCCCCGAGGUGGCCGGCAUGUUUACUUUGAAAAAAUUAGAGUGCUCAGAGCAGGCUAUUAACAAAUUGAUUUGGCCUGAAUGCCUAUGCAUGGAAUAAUGGAAUAGGACCUCGGUUCUAUUUUGUCGGUUUUCCUCUCGGAACCCGAGGUAAUGAUUAAGGGGAACAGUCGGGGACAUUUGUACUGCGACGCUAGAGGUGAAAUUCUUGGAACGUCGCAAGACAAGCUACUGCGAAAGCAUUUGUCAAGGAUGUUUUCGUUAAUCAAGAACGAAAGUUAGAGGUUCGAAGGCGAUCAGAUACCGCCCUAGUUCUAACCAUAAACGAUGCUGACCAGCGAUCCGCCGGCGCUAUUCCCAUGGCCCGGCGGGAAGCUUCCAGGGAAACCAAAGUCUUUGAGUUCCGGGGGAAGUAUGGUUGCAAAGCUGAAACUUAAAGGAAUUGACGGAAGGGCACCACCAGGAGUGGAGCCUGCGGCUUAAUUUGACUCAACACGGGAAACCUCACCAGGCCCGGACACCGGAAGGAUUGACAGAAUGAGAGCUCUUUCUCGAUUCGGUGGGUGGUGGUGCAUGGCCGUUCUUAGUUGGUGGAGUGAUUUGUCUGGUUAAUUCCGAUAACGAACGAGACUCUGGCCUAUUAACUAGUCGGCGGAUUUCCACAGCAGUUGGUGUCCAGCCCGCAACUUCUUCUUAGAGGGAUAAGCGGCAAGCCUAGCCGCACGAGAUUGAGCAAUAACAGGUCUGUGAUGCCCUUAGAUGUUCUGGGCAGCACGCGCGCUACAAUGAAGGGAUCAGCGUGUUCUUCCCCCUCCGAGAGGAGUGGGCAACCCGAUGAACCCCCUUCGUGCUAGGGAUUGGGGCUUGCAACUGUUUCCCAUGAACGAGGAAUUCCCAGUAAGCGCAAGUCAUCAGCUUGCGUUGAUUACGUCCCUGCCCUUUGUACACACCGCCCGUCGCUACUACCGAUUGAAUGAUUUAGUGAGGGCUUCGGACUGUCGCUCUUUGGUGCUUGGGUAGGGAGGGGGCUUUUAUGCUCUCUCUCGCCCUGCUCUUCGAGCCGACGGAAAGAUGUCCAAACUUGAUCAUUUAGAGGAAGUAAAAGUCGUAACAAGGUUUCCGUAGGUGAACCUGCGGGAAGGAUC